This 199-nucleotide long non-coding RNA is filed under the name Phoenix dactylifera (date palm). RNAcentral's name for it is "long non-coding RNA (PDAC_LNC014735)". The record is from RNAcentral. Lineage: Eukaryota; Viridiplantae; Streptophyta; Magnoliopsida; Arecales; Arecaceae.
CAUGAAACACAUUCAACUUAAUUUUCAUGUUCCCAAAUGAUAUAUCCAUUGCCCCGGUUCUACAGUUGAUACAUGCAUUGGCUGUCGCUAAAAAGGGACAACCAAGAAUCACAGGAAUUUGUUUUUUUAGGUUGGGCACAUGUUCCAUGUCAAGGACGAUAAAAUCUACUGGAAAAUAGAAUUUGUCUACCUUGACAAG